Molecule: ribosomal RNA, 253 nt
Filed under: uncultured bacterium
Lineage: Bacteria
Description: partial 16S ribosomal RNA
Rfam family: Bacterial small subunit ribosomal RNA
Source: RNAcentral
UACGUAGGGGGCAAGCGUUGUCCGGAUUUAUUGGGCGUAAAGAGCGUGUAGGCGGCCGUACAGGUCAGCUGUGAAAACUCGAGGCUCAACCUCGAGACGUCGGUUGAAACCGUACGGCUAGAGUCCGGAAGAGGAGAGUGGAAUUCCCGGUGUAGCGGUGAAAUGCGCAGAUAUCGGGAAGAACACCAACGGCGAAAGCACUCUGCUGGGCCGACACUGACACUGAGAGACGAAAGCUAGGGGAGCAAACAGG